UACGUAGGGGGCGAGCGUUGUCCGGAGUUACUGGGCGUAAAGGGCGUGCAGGCGGUGCGGUAAGUUUAGAGUGACAGUCUUCGGCUUAACUGGAGAAGGCCUCUGAAAACUGCCGGACUUGAGGGCCAGAGAGGGACAUAGAAUUCCGGGUGGAGUGGUGAAAUGCGUAGAUAUCCGGAGGAAUACCAAAGGCGAAGGCAGUGUCCUGGCUGGCAAUCUGACGCUGGAGGCGC
RNAcentral lists this ribosomal RNA (233 nucleotides) under uncultured bacterium. RNAcentral describes it as "partial 16S ribosomal RNA". It matches the Rfam family "Bacterial small subunit ribosomal RNA", at positions 524 to 754 of the family's 1533-position model. The record is from RNAcentral.